RNAcentral lists this ribosomal RNA (440 nucleotides) under uncultured bacterium. RNAcentral's name for it is "partial 16S ribosomal RNA". It matches the Rfam family "Bacterial small subunit ribosomal RNA", at positions 338 to 795 of the family's 1533-position model. The record is from RNAcentral.
CCUACGGGCGGCUGCCGUGGGGAAUAUUGGACAAUGGGGGAACCCCUGAUCCAGCGACGCCGCGUGAGUGAAGAAGUAUUUCGGUACGUAAAGCUCUAUCAGCAGGAAAGCAAAUGACGGUACCUGACUACGAAGCCCCGGCUAACUACGUGCCAGCAGCCGCGGUAAUCCGUAGGGGGCACGCGUUAUCCGGAUUUCCUGGGUGUAAAGGGUGCGUAGACGGCAGCGCAAGUCCUGAGUGAAAUGCCGGGGCCCAACCCCGGAACUGCGCUGGAAACUGUGAAGCUGGAGUUACGGAGAGGUAAGCGGAAUGCCUGGUGUAGCGGGGAAAUGCGUAGAUAUCAGGAGGAACACCGGCGGCGAAGGCGGCUUACUGGACUGUAACUGACGUUGAGGCUCGAAGGCGUGGGGAGCAAACAGGAUUAGAUACCCCAGUAGUC